AUUGAACGCUGGCGGCAGGCCUAACACAUGCAAGUCGAGCGGAGCGGCGGACGGGUGAGUAAUGCCUAGGAAUCUGCCUGGUAGUGGGGGAUAGGGUCCGGAAACGGGAGCUAAUACCGCAUACUAUCAGAUGAGCCUAGGUCGGAUUAGAUAGUUGGUGGGGUAAAGGCCUACCAAGGCGACGAUCCGUAACUGGUCGUGGAGGAUGAUCAGUCACACUGGAAAUGAGACACGGUCCAGACUCCUACGGGAGGCAGGAGUGGGGAAUAGUGGACAAUGGGCGAAAGCCUGAUCCAGCCAUGCCGCGUGGGUGAAGAAGGUCUUCGGAUUGUAAAGCACUUUAAGUUGGGAGGCGUUACCAACAGAAUAAGCACCGGCUAACUUCGUGCCAGCAGCCGCGGUAAUAC
This 407-nucleotide ribosomal RNA is filed under the name uncultured bacterium. RNAcentral describes it as "partial 16S ribosomal RNA". It matches the Rfam family "Bacterial small subunit ribosomal RNA", at positions 30 to 526 of the family's 1533-position model. The record is from RNAcentral.